CCCAGCCGAGCCCGAGAGCAAUUCCCCUCCUCACUCUCGGAGCCGGCCACCACCGGAAUCCCCCCGCCGGCGGUGUCGGGGGGCUGGGGCACCAAGGCGUAGCAGCACGAGUGGCACCUCAUGGCGGACCUCCUCCCGCCGCUCCUCAACGACCCACGUCUCCACCUCCACGACGGGCUGCCUUGAGUGUGAGGCGGCCAGAGUUGUCCUUCAACUUGUGCGCGUCAGGUCCGGGCCCAUGGAGGGCGAGCCGGGGGUGCUCGUGCAAUUGAGGAACACGCUCUUUUGAUGCCUCACUGCACGGGAGACGGCACCAGCCUCAACCCAGUCCACUCUUGGUGAUCUAUGUUCCGGCUGAGCGAUGCAAGGCGGAGCAUACAGGCCAUUGCAUGAAGAACUGAUGAUCUGUCUAGUCAUCAUAUGCCACAACUGUAGUCCAAGGGCUCCGAUUGAAGCGACAGCUAUUGCAAUAUUGGGACUGCGAUACCUACAAAAGGAUAAUUUGUGAGCAAUAUAAAUACAAGCCAACACAAGCAUGAAAUGGCAAUUCAGAGUAACUAUAUGUUCAGACUCCACAGCAAAAAGGAUUUCAUUAUAGGGAUGGACUCGAAAGAGUGAUCUUGUUAUCCUCUCAAGUAGAGGAAGAAUAAUCCCUAGUUCAAAGCUUUUGGUGUUACACAUAACACAUGAUUCCCAGUUGAUAUGACCCUAGAGCUCCUGGGCGAACGCGAAGGUAUGUCGACUUUCAGUGGUACAAACUCCAGAAAUUAGUGACUAAAAUCUGAACUGAUGAGUGUGCAUAUGGUAUUCUCGGUGUGAGGAUACUGAAUGAAUGACAACUUGCACUUAUUGAAGAUAAUUAAGAAGUAUUCACAUAUGCGGAUGACCAUGAUUUCUGGACAGUACUGCUAAAUGUUGACAGGCAAUUUCACGUUGAAGAUUCAGCGAUUUCGUAAUCAGAAUGAGAUGUGGCUGCACCAAGCAAAAGUGUUUUCCCUGAGAUGAAGGCGUGAUACACAAAACUGAAGGCAUUGUUGUGUACGUUUGUCAUUUAGCAAAAAGGUGUGGCAUUCAGAGCAGUUACAGGACCUUCAUAUUUAGGAGUGAUUGUGCGGUAACGACUAGUAUCAUUUAGCAAACGCGAGCAUGUGCUGGAUUCAUCGUGUGCUCCUGUGAUGGUCUGUGCACUGCAUGCAGAGGAGAUGUGUGCCGAGAAGGCCACCAGAAGUGGAGACCGCUCAUGAGAGCUAACUUAGACAUUGAGCGACAUGCCAGCGGAAUAGGCACAUGAGCAAUGUUCGAGCAGUUCGGCCUUAUCCUGUAUGAGUACAGUGCCUACUAGGUGGAGGAGAUAGAUAAGGGGAAGGCGUAUAUAUUGCGAUACACACAGAAGGAGAGGCGGUGUAUAGUGUCGUACAAAGUGAGCAUGGUAGAUGGAGGUGUUUGAUUUCAUCUGGGUUAAGCAAAUCUCGCAGACGCACAUAGUAAAUCCCGCAGAGGGGCGUCCUUGCUCCUCACCUUACCCAUUACCAAUAAAAAACCAUUCAGUUUCAGCCAUUUCAAUAUUUAUACAUGAAGGCAAUGGAGCUUGUCUGUCUUGACAACACUAGUGUUAUGCUUAUGACCGUCUUCUGAUGCUGCUCAGUAAUUGCAUGGCUUACGACCAUGUUACCAUUGCAGUUUUCAAAAUAUGAUUGCAUUGCUUAUAUAGACCAGUCUAUGAAUGAUGUGACUUGUGCUUCUGCUUUGUUCUGAAUUUGGGUACAUACUAAUAUCCUGACGACAAAUCUGAAGAGAUGGAGCAAGAUCAGGCUUGGGUGCAAGGACAAAUAGAGUGCAUUGCGCCAUCGGAGGUCAGUACCGCCUCCUCCAUGGUUAUGGGGCCUGAAGCGGACUCAGCUAUCGACGGUGGAUUAGCAGUUGUACGGUGCUGGUGCGGGAAUCGCCAUUGGAACAGAAUCUGUACUAUAACGGCCCCUAUCGUCAUCACACUUCCGAACCAGCCAUGGCUUAACGGACGGUGUCACUUGUCUUAUGUGGGCCACAGGCUCUGAAAAGUGACGAGAUACAACAGCCUAUACCCGUUGAGUUGGCGAUCUGGGAGCGAAUAAAGGGGGGAGGACAAUGAGCACGUCUGUGCUCGAGCUCAGAACAAUACUUUUGGCAUGAUAGAUAUCCUGCAUGGAUGUUUUUCUUUUGUUGUCUUCCUUUAGAGAUGUCUGAAUGUUGGUGCUUGGUUUGGCAGGAAAGUGAGGGCUGUCACGAAUAAGGAAGGCAUUGAACUUGGCAGGGAAUAUGGGCGCUUGUUUGAGGCGCAAAAUCCAAAGUGGAUGUGGAGCACCGGCUUGAUGGAUCGUAGCAAGUUUGUGUAACGCUGAUGGAUUACCAAGGGGCCGGGCUAAGCUACUGGAUUGAGAGAGUGCAACAUGCAUGUUUCCUCAUGGAAGAAAUUAAAAGGUGAAGGUCAUGGAAGAAAGAUUCAUCAGAGUAAAGUAAACCAGGGAUGUCAUCUAUCAUCGGCAUGCAUGGGUGAAAGAUGGAAGAAAGAUCUCAAGGGAAGGGUCAUGGGUGAAUCCAUUAAUCCAGGACUUGAAUUUUGUACAUGCAUGUUACUCUAGUGCUUAAUUACUUUUGAGUGCCUUAUUUACUUGUUGCUUUCCAUGAGAGCAACAAACUUAUCCUCCUUCAGUUGAUGUAAAGCAGGAUGGCACCCUGAGAUGCUUCUGUUUGUAUUGUAUAUAUAUAUGGUGUGCAACCAUUUUUGACAUGUGUGUGACAACAAUUUGAUCUUAAUUACCAUGA
Molecule: long non-coding RNA, 2802 nt
Organism: Triticum aestivum (bread wheat)
Lineage: Eukaryota; Viridiplantae; Streptophyta; Magnoliopsida; Poales; Poaceae
Exons: 5
Source: RefSeq, a predicted model, not a curated record